Molecule: long non-coding RNA, 1541 nt
Organism: Elaeis guineensis (African oil palm)
Lineage: Eukaryota; Viridiplantae; Streptophyta; Magnoliopsida; Arecales; Arecaceae
Source: RefSeq, a predicted model, not a curated record
GAGCAACACCCAUGCGCCGGUUACACCUCUACCUACCGAUGUUCGGAAUAUUUGCCCUACACUUUUGACAUGAAGCAAAAAAAACCAAAUCUUCGUCCUGGAUCCCUACGACCCGCUACCUCGUUGCCGGCGAGCUCUUAAAACUGGAAACACGCCCGUUCUCCACUCGAAGGGCGAGAGGAAAAGGAGAAUAAAGCGACGCUCCGCCUUCUCUUCGGACCCAAAGGGUUCCCAAGUGGCGGCGACUCCGGCGGCAGCGAUGGUGGUGCCUACCGGCGGCGGCGGGGCUGGAGGAGGAUCGGCUCUUCCAUCAACACAUCAUUGGCGACCAAGUAAUUAAUUAACCCCUAUUUCUCCCUUUCUUUAAUCACCUUUUGUGCCCCCCUCCCGCUGCCGAAUCGCCAUCCUCCGCCACCGUCUCCUCCUCUCCUUCGCCAUCCCCCGAUCCCAAACCCUAAGCCCUAAUCCCUCUACCUGAAUCCUCCGCCGCCUCCGCCGAUGGUCUCGAUUGAUUCUUGGGCUGUCCGAUCCGAUUAUCCUUCGAAAUCGUCCGAUCCUUGGUUCCUUGCAUCAACUCCGAUUCGCUGAACGCAGGAAAGGACGGCUUCUUUUCGCUUGUUCGAUUGUCGGAGUUUGGAAGGAACAAAUUCACCAAAACAAGGAAGCAAAAGCGGUGCCUUUCUUUGUAAAGUUUCCCUUGAUUUUAGGUUUUUCUCUGUUAGGGAUUGGAAGAAAAUGGUUUCUUUCUUAUAUUUUUUAGCGACUUCUGCCCAAAUUUUGCUAAAAUACUGUUUUCAAGCUUCCUUUCUCCAUUCUAAAGACGGUGCAAGGGCAUCUGAUGGAUUCACGGUCUUCUACUUCUUUUAGAUUGAAAGUCAUGAUUUUGUUUGGUGGUGCUCCCGAUAUGGGUAGUUCUUAACUGGAUUGAAGAAUGAGGACACUUACAACGGGUGCUUGGUAAAUUUUGAUACCUGGAUGACAUUCACCUCCCGGAGGUUAUUUGUACUUCAAAGGUGAUAGCUUGAUCUUCUCUGCAUGCCUUGUGGGUUGAAUGCCGCUCUACCAGGGCCUAAGUCAGUAUGCUGUGGUGUUUGUUACGAUCGCUAUAGGUCUUGGAGGAUGCCUGAAUGUUGUAUAUGUCUGGGGACGCAAUCAAAUAUCUCCAGGUUCCAGGUAUUGUUAAAAGGAGGUCUUCAUUUAGAGGAUCAGAUGCAAUUGUCGAAAGAAAAGAAAACUAUCCUGGCCUGCAUGCCUGUUUUGCAUUGACUUCAGAAAAAGCAAUAUUGAAUGAUUAUUUGUAAAGUCCCACAGUUAAUGAAGAUUUCUUCUGGGUUUUCAUAAUAAAAUAUGUCAUCAUUUUCAUGGUUAAAAUGAGGAUUUUCCCUCUAAUUAACUGACACUAGUGAAUGAUCAUUUGUGGGAUGCCUGCGAGUUGUUUCUGGGCUUUUAUCUUUUUCCAAUACAAUGUAUGAUCCUUCAAUCAUUUCCAGUGUUUACAUUGAGGAUAUUACAUGUAAUUGAAACAGUAUUUAGUGAUUGUU